AACGCUAGCUACAGGCUUAACACAUGCAAGUCGAGGGGCAGCAUUGGAGUAGCAAUACUUCAGAUGGCGACCGGCGCACGGGUGAGUAACACGUAUCCAACCUGCCGCUUACUCGGGGAUAGCCUUUCGAAAGAAAGAUUAAUACCCGAUGGUAUAAAGAGUUCGCAUGUUCUCUUUAUUAAAGAAUUUCGGUAAGCGAUGGGGAUGCGUUCCAUUAGAUUGUUGGCGGGGUAACGGCCCACCAAGUCUACGAUGGAUAGGGGUUCUGAGAGGAAGGUCCCCCACAUUGGAACUGAGACACGGUCCAAACUCCUACGGGAGGCAGCAGUGAGGAAUAUUGGUCAAUGGACGAGAGUCUGAACCAGCCAAGUAGCGUGAAGGAUGACUGCCCUAUGGGUUGUAAACUUCUUUUAUAAGGGAAUAAAGUGAGGGACGUGUCCCUUUUUGUAUGUACCUUAUGAAUAAGGAUCGGCUAACUCCGUGCCAGCAGCCGCGGUAAUACGGAGGAUCCAAGCGUUAUCCGGAUUUAUUGGGUUUAAAGGGAGCGUAGGUUGACAUAUAAGUCAGCUGUGAAAGUUUACGGCUCAACCGUGAAAUUGCAGUUGAUACUGUAUGUCUUGAGUGUACAAGAGGUGGGCGGAAUUCGUGGUGUAGCGGUGAAAUGCUUAGAUAUCACGAAGAACUCCGAUUG
Molecule: ribosomal RNA, 691 nt
Filed under: uncultured bacterium
Lineage: Bacteria
Description: bacterial SSU rRNA
Rfam family: Bacterial small subunit ribosomal RNA
Source: RNAcentral